CUCCUGAUGGCCUAGUGGUUUGGAUUCAGUGCUUUCACCACUAUGGCCCAGGUUCAAUCCCUGGUCUGGGAA
Molecule: transfer RNA, 72 nt
Filed under: Sus scrofa (pig)
Lineage: Eukaryota; Metazoa; Chordata; Mammalia; Artiodactyla; Suidae
Rfam family: tRNA
About the family: Transfer RNA (tRNA) molecules are approximately 80 nucleotides in length. Their secondary structure includes four short double-helical elements and three loops (D, anti-codon, and T loops).
Source: Rfam by way of RNAcentral